RNAcentral lists this long non-coding RNA (7790 nucleotides) under Arachis ipaensis. Its description in RNAcentral is "long non-coding RNA (AIPA_LNC000421)". Lineage: Eukaryota; Viridiplantae; Streptophyta; Magnoliopsida; Fabales; Fabaceae. The record is from RNAcentral.
UUUUCUUAUUGAAGAAAAGCUUGUUACACGCCUAGAGCUAAGAACAUGGGCUACACAUAUUUUUCUAGUUUCUCUCCAAAAUUCAUUGUAUGGAGAAAAAGUUAUCCCUAACCCAUUGUAGGUUAAUUUUUGCUGACCAAUUAAGUUUGGUCUUCCGGCAAAUUCACGGUCAUGGUUUUUCAAUGCUUCUUUGGCCAACUCAGGGGAUGAAAUAACAAUUGCUUUCCUUAGACCUAAUUGAAGGGAGAAUAUAGGGCCAUAUUUCUUUGAGAAUUCAAAUAGUUGAAGAUAAAGGGAAGAAUUAUCUAAUUGGUGAAGAUUUCCAAUUAUUGGAAGCCCUCUAGGACCUGGUGGAAAGUCUUUUUUCUUGUUAUGUGUUUGUUUUUGGAAGAAGAAGAAGAUGAACAAAGGAAGAGUUAGACAUAAAAUUAAGACAAGUGCUGAUACCAUGUUGUAUGUGGCUGGCCUCAACGAGUGAUGAGGAGAAGAGCAUUAUCAUAGGGUUAGAAUAUUAGAAGAUUAGAAUAUACAUAAUAUAAUAUAAUUUUUUUUAAUUAUUUAAUACUUAAGAAUAAGUAAUUUGAUGACAGAUUUUACUAUAAACUUUUAUAUAGUUAGUCUCAAAUCUAAAUAAAAGAUAAAAUUAUAUUAGAUAUUUGAUAACUAACAUAAGACUUUAUCAAAUCUUAAUUAGAGAUAUAUUUAGUAUUUGUUACGUAUAUUUUAAAAUUAGUUACCAAAAUCAAUUAUCAGUAUAAAAUAGAUGUUAAAAUAUAAAUAUAUAUUGAAAAUAAAUUAAAUCACAUAUAUCAUUAUAUAUAAAUACAUUAAUGACUGAUUUUAGUAGCUAAUUUUAAUGUACGAAUAAUAUUUUUAUUUGGCUAUAUAGUAUGUAAUAAACAGUAUCAUAAAUAUAUAUAAACCACAAAAAAUGGUAGAUUAUUUCUAAAGAAGUAUUUAAAAAAUAAAACCUUAUUAUUUGUGCUAUACGAUCGUAUUAGCUUUUACUUUUGAUUAUUUUUUUUUCCUUUGUAUAUAAUAGAACAAAUUAAUCACUAUCUAAACUUCUGGCUGUGGGACUCCAUCGCGGUUCAUACUGUCCCUAGAAAUAAUUGGAUCCACUCGACAGGGAUGCAGACAUGAAGUGGACGGCGGAAAUUGAACAUUGUAUCAUCAUUACAUUCAAAAUUUUAUAAUUUAUUACUAUGUUGAUAAAUUUGUUUUAUUAAAUAUUCUAACUAAUACUCUUAAAACACUUAUGAGCAUAAUUCUAAUUAAAAAUGUUUUCCGAAAUUUCAUUUAUAUCUAAUAAAAUAGAUUCUCUGAAAGCACUAGAUUGAGACAAAAGGAUUAUGCCCAUGUACAUUUUAUAUUUAUAAUUGAAUGAGACCACAUAUAGUUUGAUCACGUGCACACAACUUUGGUCCCCAGAUGCAUGCGAUAUUGUUAAGAUGGUGAGAAUCGAAUCGAUUAUUGAACCAGUUAAAUGAUUGGUUCAAUAAUUUAAUAGUCCAAUUAGAAUCAAAUCAUAAUUGAAUUAAUUUAAUUAAAUAUAUAAUAAAAUUAUAAAAAAAUUUAAUAUAUAAUCAAAAAUUGAAUAUGGUAUUCAAAAAUUAAAUAAACAAGUUUUUAANNNNNNNNNNNNNNNNNNNNNNNNNNNNNNNNNNNNNNNNNNNNNNNNNNNNNNNNNNNNNNNNNNNNNNNNNNNNNNNNNNNNAUAAAAAAAAAAAAAAACUGAAAAACAGAUUUUGAGUGGACAUCAAAUUACAAAAGAGUCUUUUGUACUUUUUGUAACAAACAAACUACACAAGUAGUCAGCAUCUAUUGAAAAUAAGAUAAUUCGUUCAUAGCAAAGUUCUGUUAUAGGGUUUGGACCAACGAUGGACUUGAACACACACUUAUCUUCAAUUGAAAACAAGAUCAUUCAUUCAUAACAAUAUCAGCAUCCAUUGAAAACUCUUCUUUCAGUAUCAAAUCAGAGAUAAAUCCAGUUGAAGAACACAAAUAUCUCAAUUGCAUAUUGACACUUUCAUUCCCAGCAAAGUACCAUCAACAACUCAGAACUAGAAGAAUUAGAAAAAAUCAGGAACCAACAACAAAAAUCAGAAUCAGUAUAACAAAAAAAGCUCAUAAAUCAGAAUCAAUAUAACAAACCAAGUUUUCUUAAGUUUAACUAAUUUUACUCGGCAACAAGCCAGCCAACAACUAGUAAAUUAACUCAGAAUUAGAAAAAAUAACACAAAAAUAACUCAGAAAAUUAUCAAUAAUCAACAAUAAUUAACCAGAAAUCAGAACAAAAUAACAACAAUCCAGCUCUGUUAACAACAAUGAACAUCGAAGAAAAUUAACUUAGAAAACAGCUAAUUAACCCAAAAAAAAUCAACAAUCAACAUAAUUAAAUCCAGAAAAAUAGUAAUUAACUCCCAAAAAUAAAAUUGAAGAAGCUGUGGAGGGAUAUAGGCUUAUCAACGGUGACAAUGACUGAGCUACGAGAAAGAGAGAGAGAGAGAGAACAGAGAUGAAGCAAAAAAACACCGACGAGAAGCAAACGUGCGUGAGCGACGGCGAUGACAGAAGUCCAUGACUAAGUUGAGGUGCGCCGGUGAGAACUAUAAGCGAACCAAACUUAACAAAAUCAGAAAAAUCAGCAACUCAGGGCUGACGACGAUGACGGGCUUGACCUUCAAGAGGACCGAGCAGACCUUUAAGAGGGCUGUCACUGUCGACGACGACAGUGGCGAGGCUAGCACGCGUUCUGGAGCUUGAAGGUGGCUGCAGUUUUGAUAGGGUUUCGCUCGUGUAUGAGAGAGAACUGAAAGAGAUUUGGUUUCUUUUUUUUUUUUUUAAUAUAUAGUGUAGCGAACCGGGAUGCCUAAAAAUGUGGACGGUUCAAACGGUUCACCGAUUAACCAUCGAUUCGUCUAAUUCUUUUUCCGAUUUUUGCAGAUCGAUUUUUAGUAUCAAUCAGACCAGUUAGAUGACUAGUUUUCGAUUAAGUCAGUUAAAUCGGCCAGUCCGAUCCUAUUUUUGGAACCUUAGAUGUUACACAAAUGUUAUUUUUAUGAUAAAAAAUAACUAAAUGUUAAUGAAAAUAUUAUCAAUAAAAUAAUUUGUUAACAAUUAUUAGAUGGUUGUCAAAAAUAAUUAAAUAUAACUAUUGACUGUCAAGAUUGUUAAAUAUUUUUUUUAAUAAUUAGUAAAAUUAUGUGGUAACGAAAGAUGAGAUUAUGUGUAUGUGUAUCUGUACAUAUUGAGAGUUUGAGAUUAAAAAUGACUGACAAUAGAUAGGGUAGGAUAGAAUUUGAACUCACUUUAAUUUUAUUUACGGGUUAAAUUUGUUAUUAAAAUCCAAUCCUAUUCUAUUUACUAAUUGAGAACAAUACAACUCUAAUCCUACUGCAGUCAACCUGUGGAUUUUCGAUUCUAUUCGCAAAGUUUUUUUUACAAAUAUGCGAUAUUAUUAUAUAACCUAAUGAGCAUGCAAAUUAAAAAUUCAAUAUAAAUAGUACAAUAAUCAUCUACAAAUAACAUAAUGGUCCUAUAAAUAAUAUAAUCAUCAAAUAUUUAAUUCUACAUGAAAGUUUUUGUUUAAAUUAAUAACACAAACAUAAAUAUAAUAUUACAUUUAUAUAUUACUAAUAUAAAAUUAAUUUUUAUAUAAACAAAAGUGAUAAAUUAUUAAUUGAUUAUCUUCAUUUAAUAAUAAAGAUUUUUUAUGAUUUAAUCGGUAGCAUUGAAAUUCAAUCCGCAUCCUAUUCUACCUGUGCUCAAAUUCAUUUCGUACUCAAUUCUACUUCCAACAAAUUGAAUUGACAAUCUUAUUCGACUGUCUGAGAUCGAUUACUAUAAAGGGUCGGAUAAUGUAAGUGAUAUAAGUGAAGUAGAGUAGCAGCAGUUAAAAAAUCAAGAUCAAAAAAUGUUUAUUGUGACCGUUACUUCAGUCCCACAUUAGUAAUAUACAUAACUCUGCAUCUAUAUAAUGCAGAGCUGCAUAUAGUGCAAUUGAUAUUCAGUUUUAAUUCUUUAUUUUUUUUUUUAAGUUUACUCAAAACUUUAUAGAUAAGAUGUCUAAAAAUUAACCGGACUAAUCAAAAUUAUCCGCGUGUUUUAUAAUUGUAUCGUUAAAAAACUAUCACAAUUCUAUAAUGAAAAAGUUUUUUUUUUACAGAGAAAAUUGAGAUNNNNNNNNNNNNNNNNNNNNNNNNNNNNNNNNNNNNNNNNNNNNNNNNNNNNNNNNNNNNNNNNNNNNNNNNNNNNNUAUAUUGAAAUAUCAAAAGUUCUAUAAACUAAACUAGUCAAUGAAUCAGUUAAAAGAUUGAUUUAAUAAUUUAUAUACAGUUGUUUUUAUUUAAAUUGAUGAUUGAAAUAUUUUAAAUAAUUAUUUAAUAUUUUCAAUUAUUAACUUUACAUAAAAAUAAUUACAUGUGAAUUUUUACUUUAAAUUAAAGUUUCAUUCAAAAUUUUGUUUUUUUUUUUUAAUCCAAAUUAAAAAAAGUCGUUGGUUCAACUGGUUUAUGACCAAUUUUCUGUUAACAGAUUUCGUAUAAAUUGAAUCGGAUCAAAUAGAAGGCCCGGCUAAUUGUGUCGACUUAUUAGUUCUCAGAACAUUGAGAAUUAUUUGUGUUUUUAAAAAAAUUCUUCCAUUUAUUAUCUUUAUUUUAAACUUUUAUAAGAAAAGUAUAUGUAUAAUAGUUAAAAUAAUGAUAUUAUCAAAAAAAUUUUCUAUCUCUAAGGAGAACGAUAAUUUUUUUUCCCUCCAAAUAUAUAUUUUACACCAACUCAAAUAUUACAAAAAUAACUAAAAUAAUACAAACGUUAGGAUCAAAUUUCUAUAUAUACUAUCAUUUCUUUAAAGUGGAUUCUAAUAUGAUUAUCUUCCAAUAGUUAUAAUAAUUAAUAAUAUUAUGCGAGUGUUAUUNNNNNNNNNNNNNNNNNNNNNNNNNNNNNNNNNNNNNNNNNNNNNNNNNNNNNNNNNNNNNNNNNNNNNNNNNNNNNNNNNNNNNNNNNNNNNNNNNNNNNNNNNNNNNNNNNNNNNNNNNNNNNNNNNNUUUAGCUAAACUGAUUUGUUCAAUCUAAUUUUAAUAAAAAUAACAUAGUUUAAUUGAUUAUAUAUAUUAAAUUUUAAUUUUUAAAAAAUAUCUUUUAAAAAAAGAUGUUUUUAACAUCUUUAUAUAAGUGGCUUCCUUUUUAAAAUAAUAUAAUUAGCAUAAUAUAGUUAUACUAAAAUGACUCCUUUUUUAAUACAAUAACCGUUUUUUAUUUAAGAACUUACUCACAUACAUAUCUAUCAAAAUACCUACAAAUAUGUGACAUAUAUUUAAUCAUAGUCUUGCACUUCCUGAGCAAAGAAAAUAAAUAAAAGAUACAACUAAAUUACACUUUUACAUAUCUUUACAAAUCCUUGUUAUUUUUUGCAAUAAGGUAAAGAGGAUUCUUCUUAUGUUGUGUUAAUCCUGGUAACACUUGAGUAUCAAUAUCUUCUUUUUUGAUUCCUUGUGGAAGCUCCCAAUCAAAAGAGUAAAGAAGAUUAGCAAGAAUAAGGUCAAGUGAAGCAAGUGCCAUAUGUAUACCUGGGCAAAUUCUUCUACCAGCACCAAAUGGAAUCAGCUCGAAAUGUUGUCCAAGAAAAUCUAUAUCACUGCCUAAGAAUCUCUCAGGAUAAAAUUCAUAUGGGUCUUUCCAAGCUUCAGGAUCUCUAUGAAUAGUCCAAGCGUUCACAUACACUAUAGUCUUGCUUGGAAUUUCAUAGCCAUUUAUAAUGCAAGUUUUGUUUGUUUCUUUUGGUAUAAGUAGUGGUCCUGGUAAGUGCAAUCUUAACGUUUCUUUUAUUACAGCUUUAAAAUAACUACACUUUUGAAUAUCUUCUUCUUCUAAAAAAUCUUUUUGACCUCCAAAAUUUCUAACUUCUUCUUGAACGUUCUUCAUUACUCUUGGAUUUUUUAUUAGUGCCGUCAUAGCCCAAACUGUUGUGGCUGCAGUUGCAUCUGUUGCUGCUACAAGUAUGUCCUAUAAAAGAAAAUUAAAUAAUAUUAGCAAAGCAAAUAAAUUUAACGGUAAAAGCAGUAGUCAUGGAGAAUAUUUACCAGUACUACAAUAUGUUAUUAUUGUGGUAUAUAUUUACCAUAACUAGAUAUUGUAUACUUGUGAUAAUAUUUACAGUUAUCUCAUGCUAUGGAACUAACUACUCAAUCAACUAAUUUUUUUUAAUAAAUAAAUUCAACAAAUUUUAAUUUUAAAAUUAUUAUUUUAUCUUUUAUUUAUUUUCUUUCUUUUUAAUAUCACAAUUUCAUUCACCACCAUUAAUUAUCUACUAUCACAGUCAGCUACCUCUGAUAAAUAUAAAUUUUAAAUUUUAAUUUCUAAAUCUUAAAUCUUAAAUUCUAUAUCCUUAAUCAGUUUUAUAUUAUUUGAUUUUCAAAUGCUCUUUUUACUUUUAUUUUGGAUUUUUUUAUAGCUUUUAGUUUUGAAUAAUUUUUAUAUUCAUUUCUUUUUAAUUGGUGAUUGAUUUUUAAAUUAGUUGGCUAAAUUAAUGUCAGAAUUCUUAUACCUUUUCUAAAUAUUUUACACAAUAUUCAUUGUAUAUGUUUAUCAUAAAAUUACUUUUUUAAAAAAUUUAAACUAAUAAAAAAAGCACAUAAAAAAUUAUAUCUCUAAUAUAAUUUUUUCAUGCAAGAGGUUUUUUAUUUAAAUUUACAUAAGCUUUAUUUUUUUUCUUAUAUGUCUAAGAGAUACUUGUAAUUUUCUCAUGCAAGAGGGUUUUUUUUUUUAAUUUACAUAAGCUUUAUUUUUUUCUUAUAUGUCUCUUAGGUUAAAAAGAAUUAAAACUCUAGACCUACUUUUGAUAAUAAAAAGAGGAGUGCUAGGGCCAGCAACUUUUGUGAUCAAUGAUGGUUUUAAUGGUAUGAGAUUGGUGUGAGAUUUCAUCCAAUAGUUCACUUUUCUUUACUGGUUACAUUGUUGGCUAGAAUUUGAAAAAGUUGCUGGCCCUCUAGACUUUUCCCCUAAAUAUGUACCAACACAUACACAAUUAUGAGUGGAAAUUAAAACCAUGUAUUCAAUGAAUAUACUAAAACAAGAUAAUAAUUCAAAAGAAAGAGUACAAACCACAAACAGUGCUUUGAUGUGAUUAAUAGUGAGGUCAAAGGAUAAUGAACGGUGUUUCUUCAAUUGAAGCAAGACAUCAAUAAUAUCCUCUCCAUUUGAAGUGUCUCUGUUAGGAUCCAUGUGUUCAUCAAUCACUUCUUGAUAAAACUUAUCCAACUCCUUGAAAUUUUUAUCAAGACGGGCAUGCAUUCCAUUGAGUCGAUCAAUCCAACCCAAGAAAGGAAUAUAAUCCGAAACAAAGAAGCCACCCAACAUUGCUUGACAUUCAUUGAGCAAAUCAUGGAACCUACUCCUUUCAACUCCUUCAUCUUCAUACCUUCUUCCAAAGGCAAUCCUACAAAUAAUAGUGCUUGUUAGAGAAAUUAUCAUUUCAUUCAAAUUUGUCACCUUUUUUGAUGAUGCAUGGCUUGAUAUUUUCUUGAUCCAUUUCUUGACCUCAAAUUUUCUUAUUGAAGAAAAGCUUGAUACACGCCUAGAGCUAAGAACAUGGGCUACACAUACUUUUCUAGUUUCUCUCCAAAAUUCAUUGUAUGGAGAAAAAUUUAUCCCUAACCCAUUGUAGGUUAAUUUUUGCUGACCAAUUAAGUUUGGUCUUCCGGCAAAUUCACGGUCAUGGUUUUUCAAUGCUUCUUUGGCCAACUCAGGGGAUGAAAUAACAAUUGCUUUCCUUAGACCUAAUUGAAGGG